GCGAAAGUAGCUCAGCUGGUAGAGUCCUUGCUUCCCAGGCAAGUCGUCGCCGGUUCGAAUCCGGUCUUUCGCU
Molecule: transfer RNA, 73 nt
Filed under: Vallitaleaceae bacterium
Lineage: Bacteria; Bacillati; Bacillota; Clostridia; Lachnospirales; Vallitaleaceae
Description: tRNA-Gly
Rfam family: tRNA
About the family: Transfer RNA (tRNA) molecules are approximately 80 nucleotides in length.
Source: RNAcentral